RNAcentral lists this transfer RNA (89 nucleotides) under Rhodospirillaceae bacterium. RNAcentral's name for it is "tRNA-Ser". It matches the Rfam family "tRNA". Rfam says of the family: Transfer RNA (tRNA) molecules are approximately 80 nucleotides in length. Their secondary structure includes four short double-helical elements and three loops (D, anti-codon, and T loops). The record is from RNAcentral. Lineage: Bacteria; Pseudomonadati; Pseudomonadota; Alphaproteobacteria; Rhodospirillales; Rhodospirillaceae.
GGAGAGGUGCCGGAGUGGUUGAACGGGGCGGUCUCGAAAACCGUUGUGCGCCAUGCGUACCGAGGGUUCGAAUCCCUCCCUCUCCGCCA